GGCGAGCGGCGGACGGGUGAGUAAAACGUAGGAAUCUGCCUUGAAGUUUGGGAUAACCCGGGGAAACUCGGGCUAAUACUGGAUGAGCUCUGAGGAGGAAAGUUGCCAUUUUGGUGGUGAUGCUUUAAGAGGAGCCUAUGUCGGAUUAGCUAGUUGGUUAGGUAAAAGCUGACCAAGGCGAUGAUCCGUAGCUGGUCUGAGAGGACGGACAGCCACACUGGGACUGAGACACGGCCCAGACUCCUACGGGAGGCAGCAGUGGGGAAUAUUGGACAAUGGGGGCAACCCUGAUCCAGCGAUGCCGCGUGUGUGAAGAAGGCCUGCGGGUUGUAAAGCACUUUUAUUGGGGAGGAAGGGUGCCAGGUUAAUAGCCUGGUGCAUUGACGUUACCCAAAGAAUAAGCAACGGCAAACUCUGUGCCAGCAGCCGCGGUAAUACAGAGGUUGCGAGCGUUAAUCGGAAUUACUGGGCGUAAAGGGUGCGUAGGCGGUUUGGUAAGUGAGAUGUG
RNAcentral lists this ribosomal RNA (508 nucleotides) under uncultured Gammaproteobacteria bacterium. RNAcentral describes it as "bacterial SSU rRNA". It matches the Rfam family "Bacterial small subunit ribosomal RNA", at positions 90 to 596 of the family's 1533-position model. The record is from RNAcentral. Lineage: Bacteria; Pseudomonadati; Pseudomonadota; Gammaproteobacteria.